CCUACGGGGGGCAGCAGUGGGGAAUAUUGGACAAUGGGGGCAACCCUGAUCCAGCCAUGCCGCGUGUGUGAAGAAGGCCCUUGGGUUGUAAAGCACUUUCAGUGAGGAAGAACGCCUGGUGGUUAAUACCCAUCAGGAAAGACAUCACUCACAGAAGAAGCACCGGCUAACUCCGUGCCAGCAGCCGCGGUAAUACGGAGGGUGCGAGCGUUAAUCGGAAUUACUGGGCGUAAAGCGCGCGUAGGUGGCUUGAUAAGCCGGUUGUGAAAGCCCCGGGCUCAACCUGGGAACGGCAUCCGGAACUGUCAAGCUAGAGUGCAGGAGAGGAAGGUAGAAUUCCCGGUGUAGCGGUGAAAUGCGUAGAGAUCGGGAGGAAUACCAGUGGCGAAGGCGGCCUUCUGGACUGACACUGACACUGAGGUGCGAAAGCGUGGGUAGCAAACAGGAUUAGAUACCCGGGUAGUC
This 465-nucleotide ribosomal RNA is filed under the name Vreelandella stevensii. RNAcentral describes it as "partial 16S ribosomal RNA". It matches the Rfam family "Bacterial small subunit ribosomal RNA", at positions 338 to 795 of the family's 1533-position model. Lineage: Bacteria; Pseudomonadati; Pseudomonadota; Gammaproteobacteria; Oceanospirillales; Halomonadaceae. The record is from RNAcentral.